Arthrobacter sp. 7749 is the source of this 83-nucleotide non-coding RNA. The record is from Rfam. NCBI's taxonomy places the organism in Bacteria, Bacillati, Actinomycetota, Actinomycetes, Micrococcales, Micrococcaceae.
GCGAGGGUGGCGGAAUGGUAGACGCGCUAGCUUGAGGUGCUAGUCCACGUAAGUGGGUGGGGGUUCAAGUCCCCUCCUUCGCA